UAUUCGUCGAGAGAACGCGGAGUGUGACAAAACGCUGGUUCUGAUUACAUUAGGAGGAAUGCGUAAAGAAAAAGACAAAAAAAAAUGGAACUUCUGGAAAUCGACCGAUUUGAUAGAGAAUUGCUCUGCUGCCAUUCCUCGCAUACACUCAUUCGCGUUUGCAUCGCACCAAAGGCAGCAUUAUUGGACAAAAUUCGACGCAAGAAACAUAGUGCCGGGUGAAGAUUAUCAACAUUUAACAAGUUUUUGAGAGUUUUCCUUAAAUUGCAUGCAGUAAUUGAGUAUUGAUUUGAAAGUUUAUACAAUGGACGAAAUGAAAACGCCUGUUAAAGAAAAGAAACCUCCCAAAAUUUCCGAAAGUCCGGAAAGAAUAUGCGGAAUUCACAACAGCAUUCGCGGGAACGAAUACCAACUAGGGGAAAUCUACCCUUUCCAAUCAAAAACCUAUCUUCGUCAUAUGGAGAGUU
Molecule: long non-coding RNA, 467 nt
Organism: Culex quinquefasciatus (southern house mosquito)
Lineage: Eukaryota; Metazoa; Arthropoda; Insecta; Diptera; Culicidae
Exons: 4
Source: RefSeq, a predicted model, not a curated record